This is a long non-coding RNA of Pristis pectinata (smalltooth sawfish), 2852 nucleotides long. RefSeq lists it as uncharacterized. Lineage: Eukaryota; Metazoa; Chordata; Chondrichthyes; Rhinopristiformes; Pristidae. The transcript is spliced from 3 exons. The record is from RefSeq and is a predicted model, not a curated record.
UGUCUCUCGGUGAAGCCCUUUUGUUCAAUACAGUUACAGUAUUUUCAGGGUUCCCAGCCGCUCCUCUGAUUGACAGCUCCCUCUGCCCCUCCUCCCGGGCUGCGGCCGCACCAUCACGUGGCGCCAAGCAACCACGUGAUCCCUUUACGCGCUGACGUCUCAGGGGUUGUGUACCGUCAGUGACGUCGUUCCCCUCGGCCACGGGCCUGUCCAGGCGGGGGCGGCGGCGGCGUUUCCCAGAGGGGGUAGUGGCCUGGGCCCUGGGGUGGGGCUGAGGCUUCCCCCGGGCGGGGCGGGGCCGGUCUGCACCUGCGGGGUUUAGCGGAAUGAGAGGUGAUGCCAUCGUCUCGUCCUCUGGUUUGCAGGGUGAUGGGGAGAGAUGGAGGCGGCGGCGACUGUAUCAGACGGGCUGCUCCCUGCUCUCUGCCGUUCCUGUGUGUGUCUGUGAGCCGACUGGUGGAGUCUGUGGGCCUGACUGCGCCUCCACUGUGGGCAGCGGCCUCUUCCCUUCCUGCCUGCCGGCCGCGGACGGAAAGGGAAAUUCAUUUCGGUAUGACAAUUUGGCGAGCCAGCCAGGAGUCCAAGACGAGGUUUCAGAAGAGGCGUGAGCGACGGACGGGGAUAACGGCCACCUGAGACGGACGGGCCCACAAGGUACGAUUCACCUUGAUCCCUCUCAGGCAGUCGGACACCUGAUCGAUCCCUUCACUUACCGACAAUCCUCUGACGGACUCCUCGCGAACCUGUCCGAGUGCCACAGUUUCUUCAUUCACAGGUGGAGAGUGCCUUUAAACUACCUGAAGGGCAAAACACGGAAUUGCCUGACCUGGAGAUUGGAGACUCUGUACUAAUACGGGAUUUGGAGCGCCCUAAACUGGGACCUCGGUGGAAAGGCCCCUUCCAGAUAUUACUCCAAACACUGACAGCCAUGAAAGUAAAAGGCCAGGAACAUUGGAUUCAUCUGAGUGACUGCAAACGAUGACCACCGGAGGAAGGUUAAUACCUUUUAAAUUCGGACUUCUCACCAUUACCAGUACUCUUGUGUGGGUGUUAGAGGAUAAUUUGUUUUACAGAAUACAUAUGCUGCUACAUGGGAAUCGCACCAUUUAUUACCCCUUGGCAGAGUCAGUGGAAGGCCUUUUUAUAGCCACACCAAGCUGGAGCCCCAGGGUCCUCUUAAAGUAUGAAUUUUCAAAAACAAUGUGUGUUGGACAGACGGGAACUUACAGGAGGGUGCUGCCGGGUAAAUGCUUGCAUGGAACAGUAACAGGACCUAGUAGUACAGCCCACCACCAGUCCUCCCACUGUUUCACCAGCAUAGGGAGGGGUUGUGGGCUAGCAAUUGUACAGCAUACAAUAAGCAUGUGCCGCCACUACCUGCACAGAGAGGAAUUUCGGGUUUAAAGGGGGAUGGUUUAGCUGUGAGUGCGCUGCCACUAGGUGUGCUACGUUACUUGCAGGAGAGCGAUGGGUUUGUGGAGAAGGGAACGGGACCCACGUGAGAUUGUCUAAUGUCUCCUUAGAAUGGCUAACCAGGGAGAAUUACCUGAGGGACCAUGGGAGAAAUGUUGCUGGGAUCUCUUGGUAUUCUCAAAUGCCCAGUCCACGGCAAUCAGGUAAUGUAACCUGCUGCGGGGCUAAGGAAGGGUAUGUGUUCCUCUUUAAUGGCACUUACACCACAGCCACCCCCACUCUGCCAGCCUGGUUUGCAAUAGGAACGAUCGGUCCGGUCAUGGUCCCCUGCCCCCAGAAGGCUCAUGUCCGAUGAAGACUUGUGGUGUGGUCAGUUAGUGAGGAGUUCUGUGAGGAUUGGAGGGAUCCUAUGUCAUUGGGAUCUCCCUUAGCAUUGUUAGGCCAUGGAUUCCUGAGUACUCUCUCUCUGGGGGUUCGGCAGGAACUAUAGCCACAAACAACUGGAAUACCUUAUUUGUGGACUGGCUUCACUGGGAAACAGUACUAUGGAGGGCCUGAAGGUGGUGAACCGGGAACUGGCAGAGCUUCGACUUUAUGCCCAGUGGACCCGGUAUGCUGUGGACUACCAGCUGGCUCAGCAAGGAGGAAUAUGUGCUAUAGUUGGGGACAAAUGUAUCACCAAUGUGAGAGACGAGUCCUACAACAUCUCCCAUGCCAUUCAGGACAUUCAGACUCAAGUAGAUAGCUUUAGACGGAUUUACAGGAGGGACAAGUUGGUUGGGGUGGCUGCUAGGAGGGUCGUGGGCAUCAUACCUGCUGCAUGGAGCUGUGGAACUAAUUGUAAUUAUAAUAGUAUGCUGUGUGGUGCUGGCCUGUCUAAAUACCUGUUGCAAGGUCCUUAUUAAUAAGCUCUCGGCCCCAUUCUCAGUGCCGCUGUAGUUUAUCAUGAAAUGAUAAAAAGGAGGGAAUGAGGAAGUGAAGGGUUAAGAAUUGCAACCAUACCUAUAACUGGCAAACAAGAUGUAUAUAUGUGCAUUUAUAUUUCUUUAGCAAGGACUAGCAAGCUGCUGACCCAACAGUUAGGUUGGAAUGUUAAGUAUGUUAACUGCCUUUGUUUCGCGUAAUGAACCAUUCCGAUAUGUCAGACGGUGGCGAUACUGAGUGUAAUUAACAUCGAGGUGAAGACUUGGUCUGAGCAAUGAAGGGUGAUACCUGCCUUUGAAAGCCUGGAUUAUAACUCAAUUAUACUAAGAUAAAAGGUGUGAUAGCUGUCUCGGGAUCUCCAUAGCUUGACCAAAACUCAUGGCGCCAUUUGCUUGGGAUGUGCGUGACAAUUCCUGUGUAAAUGUCUGUCUGCUCUUUGUUCGGAGAGAACUCGGGAAGCUACUCUUAGUGAGUGUUGAAGAGAAUUCUCCUAGCGGUGCACUGCUAAUAAAGGU